GGAAGGGUUUGGGAUGAACUAGGGAUAGACAAGAUCACUGUAGUGGGAUUUGAUGCUUUUCCACUUUGAUUUGAGACGUAAAUAUCAGAUAUUUUAUUUUUUCAUAUUUUUUGGUAAUAUAAUCGAUGAUUUUUGGGUUUUUGGUUGUUCUCAAGUAGGAUUUUAGGGAUUGUGUAUUUUUUUUAUGAAAUCAUGAUAAAUCUAUGAUUUUAGA
RNAcentral lists this long non-coding RNA (214 nucleotides) under Elaeis guineensis (African oil palm). RNAcentral describes it as "long non-coding RNA (EGUI_LNC059534)". Lineage: Eukaryota; Viridiplantae; Streptophyta; Magnoliopsida; Arecales; Arecaceae. The record is from RNAcentral.